UGGGUUGUGGCUCAGCGGCAGAGCACUCACCUCGCACGUUUGAGACCCUGGGUUCGAUUCUCAGCACCACAU
Non-coding RNA from Ictidomys tridecemlineatus (thirteen-lined ground squirrel), 72 nucleotides. Lineage: Eukaryota; Metazoa; Chordata; Mammalia; Rodentia; Sciuridae. The record is from Rfam.